This 1223-nucleotide ribosomal RNA is filed under the name Leuconostoc carnosum. RNAcentral describes it as "bacterial SSU rRNA". It matches the Rfam family "Bacterial small subunit ribosomal RNA", at positions 241 to 1457 of the family's 1533-position model. Lineage: Bacteria; Bacillati; Bacillota; Bacilli; Lactobacillales; Lactobacillaceae. The record is from RNAcentral.
UUAGUUAGUUGGGUGGGUAAAGGCCUACCAAGACAAUGAUGCAUAGCCGAGUUGAGAGACUGAUCGGCCACAUUGGGACUGAGACACGGCCCAAAUUCCUACGGGAGGCUGCAGUAGGGAAUCUUCCACAAUGGGCGAAAGCCUGAUGGAGCAACGCCGCGUGUGUGAUGAAGGCUUUCGGGUCGUAAAGCACUGUUGUAUGGGAAGAAAAGUUAAGGUAGGGAAUGACCUUAGCCUGACGGUACCAUACCAGAAAGGGACGGCUAAAUACGUGCCAGCAGCCGCGGUAAUACGUAUGUCCCGAGCGUUAUCCGGAUUUAUUGGGCGUAAAGCGAGCGCAGACGGUUGGUUAAGUCUGAUGUGAAAGCCCGGAGCUCAACUCCGGAAAGGCAUUGGAAACUGGUUAACUUGAGUGCAGUAGAGGUAAGUGGAACUCCAUGUGUAGCGGUGGAAUGCGUAGAUAUAUGGAAGAACACCAGCGGCGAAGGCGGCUUACUGGACUGUAACUGACGUUGAGGCUCGAAAGUGUGGGUAGCAAACAGGAUUAGAUACCCUGGUAGUCCACACCGUAAACGAUGAACACUAGGUGUUAGGAGGUUUCCGCCUCUUAGUGCCGAAGCUAACGCAUUAAGUGUUCCGCCUGGGGAGUACGACCGCAAGGUUGAAACUCAAAGGAAUUGACGGGGACCCGCACAAGCGGUGGAGCAUGUGGUUUAAUUCGAAGCAACGCGAAGAACCUUACCAGGUCUUGACAUCCUUUGAAGCUUUUAGAAAUAGAAGUGUUCUCUUCGGAGACAAAGUGACAGGUGGUGCAUGGUCGUCGUCAGCUCGUGUCGUGAGAUGUUGGGUUAAGUCCCGCAACGAGCGCAACCCUUAUUGUUAGUUGCCAGCAUUCAGAUGGGCACUCUAGCGAGACUGCCGGUGACAAACCGGAGGAAGGCGGGGACGACGUCAGAUCAUCAUGCCCCUUAUGACCUGGGCUACACACGUGCUACAAUGGCGUAUACAACGAGUUGCCAACCUGCGAAGGUGAGCUAAUCUCUUAAAGUACGUCUCAGUUCGGACUGCAGUCUGCAACUCGACUGCACGAAGUCGGAAUCGCUAGUAAUCGCGGAUCAGCACGCCGCGGUGAAUACGUUCCCGGGUCUUGUACACACCGCCCGUCACACCAUGGAAGUUUGUAAUGCCCAAAGCCGGUGGCCUAACCGUAAGGAGGAACCGUC